Non-coding RNA from Pelobates cultripes (western spadefoot toad), 161 nucleotides. The record is from the annotation of a GenBank genome assembly. Lineage: Eukaryota; Metazoa; Chordata; Amphibia; Anura; Pelobatidae.
GCAGAGCAGAAUGAGGUUACUGGCCGGAGAUCAUCCAAUCAAUAAUUGUAUUUACUGCUUGUUAUUUUAUGUUCUAAAUAAAUUAGCUUUUUUACACCAUCUUAUGUCUUUGGACAUUAUUAAUUGGAUGAUCUCCGACCAGUAACCUCAUUCUGCUCUGC